UGUGUUUAUUGUUCACACUCUUGGUCCACU
RNAcentral lists this non-coding RNA (30 nucleotides) under Rattus norvegicus (Norway rat). Lineage: Eukaryota; Metazoa; Chordata; Mammalia; Rodentia; Muridae. The record is from RNAcentral.